This 64-nucleotide transfer RNA is filed under the name Physopelta quadriguttata. RNAcentral describes it as "tRNA-Trp". Lineage: Eukaryota; Metazoa; Arthropoda; Insecta; Hemiptera; Largidae. The record is from RNAcentral.
AAAGCUUUAAGUUAAUAAAACUAUUAACCUUCAAAGUUAAAAAUACAUAAUUAUGUAAGCUUUA